RNAcentral lists this ribosomal RNA (510 nucleotides) under uncultured soil bacterium. RNAcentral describes it as "bacterial SSU rRNA". It matches the Rfam family "Bacterial small subunit ribosomal RNA", at positions 8 to 526 of the family's 1533-position model. The record is from RNAcentral.
AGAGUUUGAUCCUGGCUCAGGACGANNNCUGGCGGCGUGCCUAACACAUGCAAGUCGAACGGAGUUUAUCAUCUGGCUUGCCAGAUGCUAAACUUAGUGGCGCACGGGUGAGUAACACGUGGGCAAUCUGCCCGGAAGACUGGGAUAACAGCUCGAAAGGGCUGCUAAUACCGGAUACCCUCACGAAGUCACAUGAUUUUGUGAGGAAAGAUUUAUCACUUCCGGAUGAGCCCGCGUCCCAUUAGCUAGUUGGUGAGGUAACGGCCCACCAAGGCAACGAUGGGUAGCUGGUCUGAGAGGACGAUCAGCCACACUGGAACUGAGACACGGUCCAGACUCCUACGGGAGGCAGCAGUGGGGAAUCUUGCGCAAUGGGCGAAAGCCUGACGCAGCAACGCCGCGUGAAUGAAGAAGGCCUUCGGGUCGUAAAAUUCUGUCAGGGGGGAAGAAUAAAUGACGGUACCCCGGAGGAAGCCCCGGCUAACUACGUGCCAGCAGCCGCGGUAAUAC